UUGUUGCCUCGGCGGAGCAGCCCGGCCCCAGUAAGACGGGACGGCCCGCCCGAGGACCCUUAACUCUGUUUUUAGUGUAACUUCUGAGUAAAACAAACAAAUAAAUCGAACUUUCAACAACGGAUCUUUUGGUUCUGGCAUCAAUAAACAACGCAGCAAAUGCGAUAAGUAAUGUGAAUUGCAUAAUUCAGUGAAUCAUUUAAUCUAUGAACGCACCCCCCGCCCGCCUCUAUUCUGGCGGGCAUGCCUGUUCGAGCGUCAUUUCAACCCUCAAGCACAGCUUGGUGUUGGGAAUUUAGUUCUGAACUACGGUCCCCAAAUCUGUCGGCGGUCACGUCUAGCUUCCCAGCGUACUACACACUUUGUUACUGGUAAUCGUCGCCCCCCACGCAAUUUCUAUUUACUUCUUUUGUUGACAUCGGAUCAUGUAGGACACCCGCUCAACUUCACAUAUCAAUA
Molecule: ribosomal RNA, 459 nt
Filed under: Fusarium sp. 5S
Lineage: Eukaryota; Fungi; Ascomycota; Sordariomycetes; Hypocreales; Nectriaceae
Description: eukaryotic LSU rRNA
Rfam family: 5.8S ribosomal RNA (bases 109-261)
Source: RNAcentral